Molecule: ribosomal RNA, 561 nt
Filed under: uncultured fungus
Lineage: Eukaryota; Fungi
Description: eukaryotic LSU rRNA
Rfam family: 5.8S ribosomal RNA (bases 227-380)
Source: RNAcentral
AUUUAGAGGAAGUAAAAGUCGUAACAAGGUCUCCGUAGGUGAACCUGCGGAGGGAUCAUUACACAAAUAUGAAGGCGGGCUGGAACCUCUCGGGGUUACAGCCUUGCUGAAUUAUUCACCCUUGUCUUUUGCGUACUUCUUGUUUCCUUGGUGGGUUCGCCCACCACUAGGACAAACAUAAACCUUUUGUAAUUGCAAUCAGCGUCAGUAACAAAUUAAUAAUUACAACUUUCAACAACGGAUCUCUUGGUUCUGGCAUCGAUGAAGAACGCAGCGAAAUGCGAUAAGUAGUGUGAAUUGCAGAAUUCAGUGAAUCAUCGAAUCUUUGAACGCUCAUUGCGCCCUUUGGUAUUCCAAAGGGCAUGCCUGUUCGAGCGUCAUUUGUACCCUCAAGCUUUGCUUGGUGUUGGGCGUCUUGUCUCUAGCUUUGCUGGAGACUCGCCUUAAAGUAAUUGGCAGCCGGCCUACUGGUUUCGGAGCGCAGCACAAGUCGCACUCUCUAUCAGCAAAGGUCUAGCAUCCAUUAAGCCUUUUUUUUUCAACUUUUGACCUNGGAUCAGG